Molecule: long non-coding RNA, 928 nt
Organism: Diceros bicornis minor
Lineage: Eukaryota; Metazoa; Chordata; Mammalia; Perissodactyla; Rhinocerotidae
Exons: 5
Source: RefSeq, a predicted model, not a curated record
AAACCCUGUUUUAAAAUGAGUUCAUGGGACUGUUUCUGCCCCAGGCAUCAGCUUUUGCACGACGCCUGCGGAGGUGGUAGGACAGGGACCUCUGCAGCUGUGGGUUAGCUUGAAGCCCUCAACACUCCGUCUCCACGUAUUGUCUGCGGAUGCUGAACCACAGCUUCCCUUUUAAAUGACUGCCAUCCAUAGCACUCAGCAUGUGAAGCAGCAGAUGGAGUCGAAUAUUCCCCAUAAGAGUAAGGACGUGUGCCGAGAUUUCUUUCUUACUCCAGUGCGUUUCUUACUAACGCAUAGGAUGGAUCAUGAAACUUGAUGCCUUUGCUCAUCACUGCUCAAGACUAAAUUCAGCCCAAAUUGCUCCUGUUAGAGAAGUGAACUCAGAUGGUUCCUUUAAUGAGGUAGGAAGGGGAACUUCCAUUUUCUGCCUGAGCUCAAUGCAGCCUGCCGUGGGCUGAAGGCUCCGGGUGCUGAGCUGGCGACAGACUUGGAUUCAAGAGAAGCAGUGUCAGCAGAUCUGGAGGCUCAGCCCUUGCAGGGAAACAGAUGCCAUUCAAGCAGAAUGGAAUCCACUCUGAACAAGCUGCCAUCACAGCUCACAUGGCCACCAUCUGCUGUAGUAAAGUCCCCAUCAUGACAUGCUCCCUGCUUCUUCUGGUAACCUUCCCAUCUCUGGAGGCUGGAAGUCCAAGAUCAAGGUGCUGGCUGAUUUGGUUCCUGAUAAGGAACUGAGACUGGAGGGAAAAAAAAAAGUUCUGCCAAAGCUUUAGUGGCUGAAUGAGGUCAGGCACCCAGGUGUUCUGAUUCCCAGUCCAUGGUUAUUUCAAUCACCUCCAUGCUCCUCAGUCUCUCAUGAGCUUAAAUCCUCAAGAGAUGGAUUCAUUCUUGCAUGCUAACAACACGAAAUAUCAGAGCCUACAAAGGGUAA